CCCCGCUUGGCGGAAUUGGUAGACGCACGGGACUUAAAAUCCCUUGUCCACAGGGCGUGCCGGUUCGAGUCCGGCAGCGGGGA
Molecule: transfer RNA, 83 nt
Filed under: Albimonas donghaensis
Lineage: Bacteria; Pseudomonadati; Pseudomonadota; Alphaproteobacteria; Rhodobacterales; Paracoccaceae
Rfam family: tRNA
About the family: Transfer RNA (tRNA) molecules are approximately 80 nucleotides in length. Their secondary structure includes four short double-helical elements and three loops (D, anti-codon, and T loops).
Source: Rfam by way of RNAcentral